Non-coding RNA from Glycine soja, 228 nucleotides. NCBI's taxonomy places the organism in Eukaryota, Viridiplantae, Streptophyta, Magnoliopsida, Fabales, Fabaceae. The record is from Rfam.
ACGACCUUACUUGAACAGGAUCUGUUCUAUAGGCUCGUACCUCUGUGUCCUUGAGUUCUAAGGAGACAGGAACCUACGUCUGGUGGAUGAAGAAUCAUGACCGUGUGAUCAGAGCGUGAUUAACGGCCUGAUGUGCUUCUCUUUGAAGGUGUCUCAUCUUGUGCUGUAGAGGAUCGUUCUUAGACACUUUCAUGUGCCUGGGAUGGUCACACGGUUGUCUGACAGACU